RNAcentral lists this ribosomal RNA (487 nucleotides) under uncultured bacterium. Its description in RNAcentral is "bacterial SSU rRNA". It matches the Rfam family "Bacterial small subunit ribosomal RNA", at positions 28 to 507 of the family's 1533-position model. The record is from RNAcentral.
GAUGUACGCUAGCGGCAGGCCUAACACAUGCAAGUCAGGGGUAACAUAGGAAAGCUUGCUUUUCUGAUGACGACCGGCGCACGGGUGCGUAACGCGUAUACAACCUACCUUUUAGCGGGGAAUAGCCCAGGGAAACUUGGAUUAAUGCCCCAUAGUAUAUAGACUUCUCCUGAAGUUUAUAUUAAACAUUUAUGGCUAUUAGAUGGGUAUGCGUCCUAUUAGUUAGUUGGUAAGGUAACGGCUUACCAAGGCAGCGAUAGGUAGGGGUCCUGAGAGGGAGAUCCCCACACUGGUACUGAGACACGGACCAGACUCCUACGGGAGGCAGCAGUGAGGAAUAUUGGACAAUGGGCGAGAGCCUGAUCCAGCCAUGCCGCGUGCAGGAAGACUGCCCUAUGGGUUGUAAACUGUCUUUUACAGAGGAAGAACCACCCCCACGUGUGGGGGUUUGACGGUACUCUGCGAAUAAGGAUCGGCUAACUCCGUG